Molecule: ribosomal RNA, 574 nt
Filed under: uncultured bacterium
Lineage: Bacteria
Description: bacterial SSU rRNA
Rfam family: Bacterial small subunit ribosomal RNA
Source: RNAcentral
CCUACGGGAGGCAGCAGUGAGGAAUAUUGGACAAUGGGCGCAAGCCUGAUCCAGCCAUGCCGCGUGCAGGAAGAAGCAUCUAUGGUGUGUAAACUGCUUUUGUACAGGAAGAAACACUCCCUCGUGAGGGAGCUUGACGGUACUGUAAGAAUAAGGAUCGGCUAACUCCGUGCCAGCAGCCGCGGUAAUACGGAGGAUCCAAGCGUUAUCCGGAAUCAUUGGGUUUAAAGGGUCCGUAGGCGGUUUGGUAAGUCAGUGGUGAAAGCCCAUCGCUCGACGGUGGAACGGCCAUUGAUACUGCUAGACUUGAAUUAUUGUGAAGUAACUAGAAUAUGUAGUGUAGCGGUGAAAUGCUUAGAGAUUACAUGGAAUACCAAUUGCGAAGGCAGGUUACUAACAAUAUAUUGACGCUGAUGGACGAAAGCGUGGGGAGCGAACAGGAUUAGAUACCCUGGUAGUCCACGCCGUAAACGAUGGAUACUAGCUGUUGGGAGUAAUCUCAGUGGCUAAGCGAAAGUGAUAAGUAUCCCACCUGGGGAGUACGUUCGCAGAUGAACCUUAAUGAAUUGACCGG